CCUACGGGGGGCAGCAGUGGGGAAUCUUGCGCAAUGGGCGAAAGCCUGACGCAGCAACGCCGCGUGCGGGAUGAAGGCUCUCGGGUUGUAAACCGCUUUCAGGAGGGACGAAAUUGACGGUACCUCCAGAAGAAGCCCCGGCCAACUACGUGCCAGCAGCCGCGGUAACACGUAGGGGGCGAGCGUUGUCCGGAUUUAUUGGGCGUAAAGAGCUCGUAGGCGGUUUGGCAAGUCGGGUGUGAAAGCUCGAGGCUCAACCUCGAGACGCCACUCGAUACUGCCAUGACUGGAGUCCGGUAGAGGAGUGCGGAAUUCCUGGUGUAGCGGUGAAAUGCGCAGAUAUCAGGAGGAACACCAACGGCGAAGGCAGCACUCUGGGCCGGUACUGACGCUGAGGAGCGAAAGCGUGGGGAGCAAACAGGAUUAGAUACCCCAGUAGU
This 440-nucleotide ribosomal RNA is filed under the name uncultured bacterium. RNAcentral's name for it is "bacterial SSU rRNA". It matches the Rfam family "Bacterial small subunit ribosomal RNA", at positions 338 to 794 of the family's 1533-position model. The record is from RNAcentral.